GAUGAACGCUGGCGGCGUGCCUAAUACAUGCGAGUCGAGCGAACNGGACGAGAAGCUUGCUUCUCUGAUGUUAGCGGCGGACGGGUGAGUAACACGUGGAUAACCUGCCUAUAAGACUGGGAUAACUUCGGGAAACCGGAGCUAAUACCGGAUAAUAUUUUGAACCGCAUGGUUCAAAAGUGAAAGACGGUCAUGCUGUCACUUAUAGAUGGAUCCGCGCUGCAUUAGCUAGUUGGUAAGGUAACGGCUUACCAAGGCAACGAUGCAUAGCCGACCUGAGAGGGUGAUCGGCCACACUGGAACUGAGACACGGUCCAGACUCCUACGGGAGGCAGCAGUAGGGAAUCUUCCGCAAUGGGCGAAAGCCUGACGGAGCAACGCCGCGUGAGUGAUGAAGGUCUUCGGAUCGUAAAACUCUGUUAUUAGGGAAGAACAUAUGUGUAAGUAACUGUGCACAUCUUGACGGUACCUAAUCAGAAAGCCACGGCUAACUACGUGCCAGCAGCCGCGGUAAUACGUAGGUGGCAAGCGUUAUCCGGAAUUAUUGGGCGUAAAGCGCGCGUAGGCGGUUUUUUAAGUCUGAUGUGAAAGCCCACGGCUCAACCGUGGAGGGUCAUUGGAAACUGGAAAACUUGAGUGCAGAAGAGGAAAGUGGAAUUCCAUGUGUAGCGGUGAAAUGCGCAGAGAUAUGGAGGAACACCAGUGGCGAAGGCGACUUUCUGGUCUGUAACUGACGCUGAUGUGCGAAAGCGUGGGGAUCAAACAGGAUUAGAUACCCUGGUAGUCCACGCCGUAAACGAUGAGUGCUAAGUGUUAGGGGGUUUCCGCCCCUUAGUGCUGCAGCUAACGCAUUAAGCACUCCGCCUGGGGAGUACGACCGCAAGGUUGAAACUCAAAGGAAUUGACGGGGACCCGCACAAGCGGUGGAGCAUGUGGUUUAAUUCGAAGCAACGCGAAGAACCUUACCAAAUCUUGACAUCCUUUGACAACUCUAGAGAUAGAGCUUUCCCCUUCGGGGGACAAAGUGACAGGUGGUGCAUGGUUGUCGUCAGCUCGUGUCGUGAGAUGUUGGGUUAAGUCCCGCAACGAGCGCAACCCUUAAGCUUAGUUGCCAUCAUUAAGUUGGGCACUCUAAGUUGACUGCCGGUGACAAACCGGAGGAAGGUGGGGAUGACGUCAAAUCAUCAUGCCCCUUAUGAUUUGGGCUACACACGUGCUACAAUGGACAAUACAAAGGGCAGCGAAACCGCGAGGUCAAGCAAAUCCCAUAAAGUUGUUCUCAGUUCGGAUUGUAGUCUGCAACUCGACUACAUGAAGCUGGAAUCGCUAGUAAUCGUAGAUCAGCAUGCUACGGUGAAUACGUUCCCGGGUCU
RNAcentral lists this ribosomal RNA (1373 nucleotides) under uncultured bacterium. Its description in RNAcentral is "bacterial SSU rRNA". It matches the Rfam family "Bacterial small subunit ribosomal RNA", at positions 28 to 1381 of the family's 1533-position model. The record is from RNAcentral.